This 842-nucleotide ribosomal RNA is filed under the name uncultured bacterium. RNAcentral describes it as "bacterial SSU rRNA". It matches the Rfam family "Bacterial small subunit ribosomal RNA", at positions 23 to 883 of the family's 1533-position model. The record is from RNAcentral.
CUCAGGACGAACGCUUGCGGCGUGCCUAAGAAAUGCAAGUCGAGCGGACAGUAGCAAUACUGUUAGCGGCGAACGGUCGCGUAACACGUAGGCAACCUGUCCCAAAGACCGGGAUAACAGGGGGAAACUCUUGCUAAUACCGGAUGUGACCACUUUCUCACCUGGGAGAGUGCUUAAACCGAGCAAUCGGCUUUGGGAGGGGCCUGCGGCCUAUCAGCUAGAUGGUGGGGUAAUGGCCUACCAUGGCGACGACGGGUAGCUGGUCUGAGAGGAUGGUCAGCCGGACUGGGACUGAGACACGGCCCAGACUCCUACGGGGGGCAGCAAUUAGGAAUCUUGCACAAUGGGGGAAACCCUGAUGCAGCGACGCCGCGUGAGGGAUGACGGCCUUCGGGUUGUAAACCUCUUUUAACGAGGAAGAAACAAAUGACGGUACUCGUUGAAUAAGCCCCGGCUAACUCCGUGCCAGCAGCCGCGGUAAUACGGAGGGGGCGAGCGUUGUCCGAAGUUACUGGGCGUAAAGCGCGCGUAGGCGGGGAACCAAGUCCGCUGUGAAAGCCUGAGGCUUAACCUCAGCGGGUCGGUGGAUACUGGUUCUCUUGAAGGUGCUAGGGGGAGAUGGAAUUACAGGUGUAGCGGUGAAAUGCGUAGAUAUCUGUAGGAACACCAGUGGCGAAGGCGGUCUCCUGGGGCAUUCUUGACGCUGAGGCGCGAAAGCUGGGGGAGCGAACGGGAUUAGAUACCCCGGUAGUCCCAGCCCUAAACGAUGGAUACUAGGUGUCGGGGGUAUCGACCCCUCCGGUGCCGUCGCUAACGCAGUAAGUAUCCCGCCUGGGGAGUAC